RNAcentral lists this long non-coding RNA (806 nucleotides) under Gallus gallus (chicken). The record is from RNAcentral. Lineage: Eukaryota; Metazoa; Chordata; Aves; Galliformes; Phasianidae.
GUUGCUUUCAUUGGCUUUUCCUUCAAACAUCAUGACCAGUUUAAGUACAGCAGAGCGUUUGCCAAGCAUCACAUUAACGAAGUCCUGGUAGGAAAUGGUCUCGCUAACCCCUCCGGUCACCUCAGAGAUCAUCUUCUUCAGCUCUAGGUGGGUCUUUGGAACACCCAUCUUCUCCAUCAUCCUUUUGACAGACAUCAAAUCAAUCUCGCCUUGGUUGUUCAGGUCAAACUCCAUGUACUUCUCUUUGAACACUGCCAGCUUCUCCUCCAGAUCUUCCUCAUCACUGAACUUUGGGUCACAGAGAAAUUCCUUAUUGAUCUCCUCCAGCCGCCCGUCCUGCGGGGCGCGUCGCACUCCCCCUCCGCUCGGCCGCCGCGGAGCCGCCAUCGCGCGGAGCCGCCCCGUCCCCCGCCGCCGUCCUUAAGUAGGGGCGGGCCGGGCUGGGCCGUAGGGCCUCCGCCCCCGCCGUUAACCCCUUCCCCGCUCCACGGGGAGCGCGAGCCCGGUGUCCGCGGGAUGGAAAUCCGCUGGGAAGUACAGAUUACAAGAAGGAAAAAGUAAACUAAAUCCAGCAGAGCGGUACGCACGCUGCUCGCGGUGUUCCCCGACGGGCGGGACGUGGCCGAGGGGGGUCGGGAGGAGGACGUGAUGGGGACGAGAAAGGGACGGUCUCCCCCUAGCGCACAGCCCGGGGGUGCCGGGGGCAUUGCUCCGGCCGCAGCGCUCCGAGCUGCUAUCGGCGAGCAGCUGUGCAAAGCACGUCGGUGCGCGUUGCACCUCGCGCAGGAGCGCAUCGCUGCGUGUCC